GCUUGAAACAAUUUAGACCAACCAGAACUGGAGUACUGCAAACAAGGAAGCUUAAAACAGCGUAUUUAACGCUAAUAUUAUUUGCUGGUGCGACGGCGUUCUGCAUACAAGAUGAAAGCCAACUUCAUUUUACUUAUUUGCUGUAUUGUUGCUCUGGCAGCAUUCGUGGUGGCGAAUGCUGAGUUUCGCGAAAGAAGAAGUCCCAAUAUUAUUACUUCAAUGGCUGGUAAAGCAUUAAAUGCAACGAAAGUUGUAUUUUCUAUGUUUGGCAAAUAAAUAUUUGGUAUUCGAAAACACGGAGGGAAUAAAACUUCCGAAAAAAGUAUUUUAUUGAUAUUUAUUUUUCCUACCACAUUUUCGGGAUGAAUGCAAUCACUUUGUGUAACUGCAUGUAAAAGUAAUAAAUUGUAUUAAUAUUUGGUUUUGACAAACUCAUAGGAAGAAAAUAAAUAACAUAAUUAUAGACAUUACAAAGCUGACUCUAGGGGUAAAAGAGUUGUUUUCUCAACUCUCUUAAAUUUUUUAAUGUAUUUAGAAAUGUAGAAAUAUCGUAUCCAAUAUUUUUAAUAAUAACAAAUUAAAUUAAUAUGCUACACAUAAUUGAAGUCUGAUUAUAAUUUUUAUAGUACCAUUCAUACAUUGAAAACGUGUUAAAUUUUCCAACUGAUUGAAUACGUCAAAUCAGUUACAUUCAAAAUUAGAUCCCACUAUUUAUAAAAGUUGAGUAUCAAAAAUGUUUCGUUAAACAUGAUCAAACUCAUGGAAUUAGGGUUUUAAGUUGUAUGACAAUUCCAAUGAAUGUUACAAGUUUUACGUUUCACAAUAUGGUAUCAAAAUAACACAUGUAAUAAAUAUGUUUAACACUAUAAAUGGUAAAGCUCAUCAGUUUGUUAAAAAAGGGGUUUAGGAAUUUGAGUUGUGGUAAAGAAAUGCAUUGCAAUUUUAGCGGAUGUUAAAUCUUGAGUUUGUAUAUUAAAAUAACAUAUGUUUCAAUAUUUACACAAGCUAAUAAACUGUAUUCAAGCAAUGGAGUUUGGUUGUGAACAACAGUCAGAAAUAUAUUUCAUUAAAAGUAA
Molecule: long non-coding RNA, 1076 nt
Organism: Bacillus rossius redtenbacheri
Lineage: Eukaryota; Metazoa; Arthropoda; Insecta; Phasmatodea; Bacillidae
Exons: 2
Source: RefSeq, a predicted model, not a curated record